AAAUGAAUUGACGGGGGCCCGCACAAGCGGAGGAACAUGUGGUUUAAUUCGAUGAUACGCGAGGAACCUUACCCGGGCUUGAAUUGCAGCGGAAUGUAGUUUAAAGAUUACAGCCUUCGGGCCGCUGUGAAGGUGCUGCAUGGUUGUCGUCAGCUCGUGCCGUGAGGUGUCGGCUUAAGUGCCAUAACGAGCGCAACCCUUAUUUUCAGUUACUAACAGGUCAUGCUGAGGACUCUGAAGAGACUGCCGUCGUAAGAUGUGAGGAAGGUGGGGAUGACGUCAAAUCAGCACGGCCCUUACGUCCGGGGCUACACACGUGUUACAAUGGGGGGUACAGAAGGCCGCUACACAGCAAUGUGAUGCCAAUCCCAAAAACCUCUCUCAGUUCGGAUUGGAGUCUGCAACUCGACUCCAUGAAGCUGGAUUCGCUAGUAAUCGCGCAUCAGCCACGGCGCGGUGAAUACGUUCCCGGGCCUUGUACACACCGCCCGU
Molecule: ribosomal RNA, 492 nt
Filed under: uncultured bacterium
Lineage: Bacteria
Description: bacterial SSU rRNA
Rfam family: Bacterial small subunit ribosomal RNA
Source: RNAcentral